RNAcentral lists this ribosomal RNA (492 nucleotides) under uncultured bacterium. RNAcentral describes it as "partial 16S ribosomal RNA". It matches the Rfam family "Bacterial small subunit ribosomal RNA", at positions 29 to 507 of the family's 1533-position model. The record is from RNAcentral.
AGUGAACGCUGGCGGUAGGCCUAACACAUGCAAGUCGAACGGCAGCACAGUAAGAGCUUUCUCUUACGGUUGGCGAGUGGCGGACGGGUGAGGAAUACAUCGGAAUCUACUUUUUCGUGGGGGAUAACGUAGGGAAACUUCCGCUAAUACCUCAUACGACCUACGGGUUAAAUCAGUGGAUCUUCGGACCUUGCGCGAUUCAAUGAGCCGAUGUCGGAUUAGCUAGUUGGCGGGGUAAAGGCCCACCAAGGCGACGAUCCGUAGCUGGUCUGAGAGGAUGAUCAGCCACACUGGAACUGAGACACGGUCCAGACUCCUACGGGAGGCAGCAGUGGGGAAUAUUGGACAAUGGGCGCAAGCCUGAUCCAGCCAUACCGCGUGGGUGAAGAAGGCCUUCGGGUUGUAAAGCCCUUUUGUUGGGAAAGAAAAGCAGCAGGUUAAUACCCCGCUGUUCUGACGGUACCCAAAGAAUAAGCACCGGCUAACUUCGUG